Molecule: transfer RNA, 526 nt
Filed under: uncultured Prochlorococcus sp.
Lineage: Bacteria; Bacillati; Cyanobacteriota; Cyanophyceae; Synechococcales; Prochlorococcaceae
Description: partial 16S-23S ribosomal RNA intergenic spacer
Rfam family: tRNA (bases 211-283)
Source: RNAcentral
CAGGGAGACAACAAAAUGUUAAAUAUUAAUUUUGUCACCUUAGGUCGAUCGGUAUCUCACAUUCUUGAUUAUUUAAGGAUUUUAUUUCCUAAGUUUUUUCUAGGUCACACCCAUUACUUUUCCUGGGCCAUUAGCUCAGGUGGUUAGAGCGCACCCCUGAUAAGGGUGAGGUCCCUGGUUCAAGUCCAGGAUGGCCCAUAUCUCUAUGUUGGGGGUAUAGCUCAGUUGGUAGAGCGCCUGCUUUGCAAGCAGGAUGUCAGCGGUUCGAGUCCGCUUACCUCCACUGAUCACCACCUCUUCAUAAUUUAUAGAAGGGAAUUGUUUUGAGUUAUGAUCAAAUUCUGAACGAAUCUAGCUUCCUAAUUGAAUCUAUUAAGAUGCUGGACUCAUUGAAUUAAUUUCAUUGUUUUCAGAGAACCUUGACAACUGCAUAGAUUAUUUUAAAGACAAUAAGCAUCUUUAAUGAUGCAGAUUUAUUAUUUGUGCGAAUGCAUUAAAUAACAAUCCUAUUAAGCUGAUGCUUCAA